AACCAUUCUCGGGGCGGGGUGCAAUUCCCCACCGGCGGUAUAGCCCGCGAGCGCCUGUUAAACAGGGUCAGCAGAUCUGGUGAGAUUCCAGAGCCGACGGUCACAGUCCGGAUAUGAGAGAGAGACG
This is a non-coding RNA of Oceanobacter sp., 127 nucleotides long. The record is from Rfam. NCBI's taxonomy places the organism in Bacteria, Pseudomonadati, Pseudomonadota, Gammaproteobacteria, Oceanospirillales, Oceanospirillaceae.